UCUACCUGGUCUCUCUUUACCCAGGUGCAUCCUCCAUGCACGGUGUAGCUGAGAAGGAGGACCUGGCAGGGCUCUGUGACUGGGAAACAGCUGAGUUCCUUCCUGUUUCUGCUGCAAACCAGGGCAAAGCCAGCUGAACCUAGCCUUUUGCAGCAGAGACUUCCUGCUGGACUGAUCUUCUGAGACAAAGUGUGACCCUUGGUCUCUUCCAAUGGAUGAUGGAACGCCAUCUCAUCCUCUGACCAGAGGAUCAAAGACUGCCCCAAAAGUCCCAUACUGGAUCCAUGUGUUGCACCCUAGGCUGGAGCAGAUAAAAUGGAUCAGGAAGGGACAACAGCUCUGCCAGCUCCCAGCCAUAAUGCUGUCCCCAAUGGCUUCAGUGACAGAGGCAGCAGUGGGGGGAUGACAGGUCACAUGAAGAGGAGCAGCAAGGUGCUCCAGGAGCCCCGUCAGCAUCCCCACCUCCUUCCUCAGUGUCUAGGCUGAGGCUGAAACCUGACUUCCCAGGGCCAAUCUCUGCCUAUGAACCUCUGUGCACGUAAGAGCUGUGAAUUAACCUCUCUGGUCUCCGAGCCUCUCCCCAAGGCAACGAUUACCACAGACCCCACUUUCGCAAACACUUUUGAAUCCACAAGACUUCAGCACUCUGCAGCUGUGGUUACUAUUCUCCAGAGUCCUGAUCUGCUGUCCCAAAUUCCCCAACACUAGGCACAGACGGCUCUGAUAAAA
Molecule: long non-coding RNA, 729 nt
Organism: Mus musculus (house mouse)
Lineage: Eukaryota; Metazoa; Chordata; Mammalia; Rodentia; Muridae
Product: predicted gene, 34322
Exons: 3
Source: RefSeq, a predicted model, not a curated record